RNAcentral lists this ribosomal RNA (923 nucleotides) under Enterococcus faecium. RNAcentral's name for it is "partial 23S ribosomal RNA". It matches the Rfam family "Bacterial large subunit ribosomal RNA", at positions 12 to 935 of the family's 2925-position model. The record is from RNAcentral. Lineage: Bacteria; Bacillati; Bacillota; Bacilli; Lactobacillales; Enterococcaceae.
AUAAGGGCGCACGGUGGAUGCCUUGGCACUAGGAGCCGAUGAAGGACGGGACUAACACCGAUAUGCUUUGGGGAGCUGUACGUAAGCUAUGAUCCAGAGAUUUCCGAAUGGGGGAACCCAACAUCUUUAAUAGGAUGUUACGAUUGUGUGAAUACAUAGCACAUUCGAGGUAGACGCAGAGAACUGAAACAUCUAAGUACCUGCAGGAAGAGAAAGAAAAUUCGAUUCCCUGAGUAGCGGCGAGCGAAACGGGAAAAGCCCAAACCAGCAAGCUUGCUUGUUGGGGUUGUAGGACUCCAAUAUGGUAGUUCUUUCAGAUAGUCGAAUGACUUGGAAAAGUCAGUCAAAGAGGGUAAAAACCCCGUAGACGAAAUGUGGAAGACACCUAGGAGGAUCCUGAGUACGGCGGAACACGAGAAAUUCCGUCGGAAUCCGGGAGGACCAUCUCCCAAGGCUAAAUACUCCCUAGUGACCGAUAGUGAACCAGUACCGUGAGGGAAAGGUGAAAAGCACCCCGGAAGGGGAGUGAAAUAGAACCUGAAACCGUGUGCCUACAACAAGUCAAAGCCCGUUAAUGGGUGAUGGCGUGCCUUUUGUAGAAUGAACCGGCGAGUUACGAUUGCAUGCGAGGUUAAGUUGAAGAGACGGAGCCGCAGCGAAAGCGAGUCUGAAUAGGGCGUUUGAGUAUGUAGUCGUAGACCCGAAACCAUGUGAUCUACCCAUGUCCAGGUUGAAGGUGCGGUAAAACGCACUGGAGGACCGAACCCACGUACGUUGAAAAGUGCGGGGAUGAGGUGUGGGUAGCGGAGAAAUUCCAAACGAACUUGGAGAUAGCUGGUUCUCUCCGAAAUAGCUUUAGGGCUAGCCUCGGAAUUGAGAAUGAUGGAGGUAGAGCACUGUUUGGACUAGGGGCCCAUCUCGGG